AUGAGAUCCCUGGGGAACUCCUUGAGCAGCUGUCGCGCACAAGAAGCAUGCUUUUCAUCAGUCAAUUGGUGGUGGCCGCUUCCAAAUCGUCACGAGAAAUCAAAUCAAGCCGCGACGAACCUCGAAAUGCCGGUCGACGGCCACCUCCGUGUCCCUGUCCUCGCCGACGAGCGCCGAGAGCGCCCGGAACACCGCCCUCUCGUACUCCGUCGCCUUGCCCUUGUGGAAGCAAAGGAACGGGAAAAGGAGCGAGGAGACCGGCCGGGCAGACGCGAGGCUUACGAGGCUGCCGGCGGCGGCGGCGAGGAAGGCGGCGGCCCCGGCGCGGUCGCGCGGGCCGACGAAGUGCGCGGCGUGCAGCGCGGCGAGCGCGCAGGCGGGGUCGGCGGCGGCCGCGCGGAGCACGGCGCGGCCGCGGCCGCGGCCGAAGGACAUGGUCUGCGCGUAGUAGUCGUCCAGCGCCGCCGCGCAGUCGGCGGAGGCCGUCCGGUACUCCUGCCCCCACAUGUCCCUCCUCACCUCCCCCUCCGCCUCCGCCAUCUGCCGCCGCCCGCCUGGCUCGGCUCCUCUGCGCGUCUCCGCUGCUGCUCCGGUGGGUGGGUGCUGUGCUCGUGGGAGUGGGAGGGUCGAGAGGCCGCGUGGGAUUGGGAGUGGUUGUUGCGGAGGCGGAGGCGGAGGCGUGCCGUGCCACCGCUCGCGGCGUCCACGUCUGCUCGUGGUGGGGGUGGGGGGCGCGUGUUGCGUCGUCCCGCGCGUCAGUGA
RNAcentral lists this ribosomal RNA (762 nucleotides) under Triticum aestivum (bread wheat). Its description in RNAcentral is "partial small subunit ribosomal RNA". The record is from RNAcentral. Lineage: Eukaryota; Viridiplantae; Streptophyta; Magnoliopsida; Poales; Poaceae.